AACGAACGCUGGCGGCAGGCCUAACACAUGCCAGUCGAGCGCGCCCUUCGGGGUGAGCGGCGGACGGGUGAGUAACGCGUGGGAACGUGCCCUUUUCUACGGAAUAGCCUCGGGAAACUGAGAGUAAUACCGUAUACGCCCUUUGGGGGAAAGAUUUAUCGGAGAAGGAUCGGCCCGCGUUGGAUUAGGUAGUUGGUGGGGUAAUGGCCUACCAAGCCGACGAUCCAUAGCUGGUUUGAGAGGAUGAUCAGCCACACUGGGACUGAGACACGGCCCAGACUCCUACGGGAGGCAGCAGUGGGGAAUCUUAGACAAUGGGGGCAACCCUGAUCUAGCCAUGCCGCGUGAGUGAUGAAGGCCUUAGGGUUGUAAAGCUCUUUCAGCUGGGAAGAUAAUGACGGUACCAGCAGAAGAAGCCCCGGCUAACUCCGUG
This 433-nucleotide ribosomal RNA is filed under the name uncultured bacterium. RNAcentral's name for it is "partial 16S ribosomal RNA". It matches the Rfam family "Bacterial small subunit ribosomal RNA", at positions 29 to 507 of the family's 1533-position model. The record is from RNAcentral.